This 645-nucleotide ribosomal RNA is filed under the name Raniceps raninus (tadpole fish). RNAcentral describes it as "partial 12S ribosomal RNA". It matches the Rfam family "Bacterial small subunit ribosomal RNA", at positions 556 to 1509 of the family's 1533-position model. Lineage: Eukaryota; Metazoa; Chordata; Actinopteri; Gadiformes; Gadidae. The record is from RNAcentral.
CGGCGUAAAGCGUGGUUAAGAAAAUGAUACAAAUAGGGCCGAAUAGCCUCAAAGCAGUUAUACGCACUCGAGGCCACGAAGCACAGUCACGAAAGUGGCCCUACUAAAAUUUGAUCCCACGAAAACCAUAAAACAAACUGGGAUUAGAUACCCCACUAUGUAUGGUUGUUAACAUUGAUGGUUUUAUACUCCGACCAUCCGCCCGGGUACUACGAGCAUAAGCUUAAAACCCAAAGGACUUGGCGGUGCUUUAGACCCCCCUAGAGGAGCCUGUUCUAGAACUGAUAACCCCCGUUAAACCUCACCAUCCCUUGUUUAACCCGCCUAUAUACCACCGUCGUCAGCUUACCCUGUGAAGGUAAAAUAGUAAGCAUAAAUGGCAAAGCCAAAAACGUCAGGUCGAGGUGUAGCGAAUGAGAUGGGAAGAAAUGGGCUACAUUCUCUAUUACAGAGAAUACGAAUGGUAAUUUGAAAAAAAUACCUGAAGGAGGAUUUAGCAGUAAGUAGGGAACAGAGCGCCUUACUGAAAACGGCCCUGAAGCGCGCACACACCGCCCGUCACUCUCUCCAAAUAAACUCUAAAUAUUACUUAAAAUGUUUUACAUAACAAGGGGAGGCAAGUCGUAACAUGGUAAGUGUACCGGA